UCUUACUUCAUGUUGACAUACCCACGCAAUGAAAAGUAUUGACUCUCUUGUAGAGUUAGAAAAAAGAUUACUCGACAUGCAUGUUAGGUAUCUGUACAUAUCGUUUUUGUUCAUUUUAAUAUAACAUUUUUGCAGAAGAGUUAUACCUGUUCUCUUUUUUCAGAGUAUCACCGUUGGCUUCUAUCAAUGAAGAUGCAGCUUUUUCUGGAUGAAAAAUGAUACCAACGUUUGAUGAAGAACAUGGACAAGCAGUUUUAGUUUUUGAGCUUCUAACAUGCAAUUUAUAACUUGUUCCCCC
RNAcentral lists this long non-coding RNA (298 nucleotides) under Setaria italica (foxtail millet). RNAcentral's name for it is "long non-coding RNA (SITA_LNC002035)". Lineage: Eukaryota; Viridiplantae; Streptophyta; Magnoliopsida; Poales; Poaceae. The record is from RNAcentral.